Molecule: long non-coding RNA, 413 nt
Organism: Mercenaria mercenaria
Lineage: Eukaryota; Metazoa; Mollusca; Bivalvia; Venerida; Veneridae
Exons: 4
Source: RefSeq, a predicted model, not a curated record
CCGCUACAGGUAAUGUAAAUACUAGUCUGCCUCCUUCUGUCCGUGGUACUUGCUGCCCCUACAGAUACAAAACGAUUUAUCUUCGGGAAUUUUCAGGUUGAUAGUCUCUUUGAUCUUGACACGCUGAAAUGUGACGUGCAGGUUUUACUUGACGUAGUGGGAAGCAAUUCAACUGAAAAGGCGUGUGAGAAUGAAUGUGGCGUCUUGCUUAAAAGUGAUACAAAUGUCCUCAAUUACGGUUGCCCACUAGUUUGCCAUGGGCUGCAGAAUCUGGCACAUUAUUUCCACGAGGUGCCCAAACCAGGAGAUCAGCAUAUGAUUUGUGGCGGACUUGGAAUAACUACAACUAGCGGAUCUAUAUAAACCCCAGUGUUUAACUGUCACCAACAAUUACUAAAUAAAUGUUUUCCCAA